UCGGGAAUUUUGGGCAAUGGGCGAAAGCCUGACCCAGCAACGCCGCGUGAGGGAUGAAGUAUUUCGGUAUGUAAACCUCGAAAGAAUGGGAAGAAUAAAUGACGGUACCAUUUAUAAGCUCCGGCUAACUACGUGCCAGCAGCCGCGGUAAUACGUAGGGAGCAAGCGUUGUUCGGAUUUACUGGGCGUAAAGGGCGCGUAGGCGGCGCGGUAAGUCACUUGUGAAAUCUCUGAGCUUAACUCAGAACGGCCAAGUGAUACUGCUGUGCUAGAGUGCGGAGGAGGCAACCGGAAUUCUUGGUGUGGCGGUGAAAUGCGUAGAUAUCAAGAGGAACACCUGAGGCGAAGGCGGGUUGCUGGGCCGACACUGACGCUGAUGCGCGAAAGCCAGGGGAGCAAACG
RNAcentral lists this ribosomal RNA (402 nucleotides) under uncultured bacterium. Its description in RNAcentral is "bacterial SSU rRNA". It matches the Rfam family "Bacterial small subunit ribosomal RNA", at positions 355 to 774 of the family's 1533-position model. The record is from RNAcentral.